RNAcentral lists this ribosomal RNA (300 nucleotides) under Triticum aestivum (bread wheat). RNAcentral's name for it is "partial small subunit ribosomal RNA". Lineage: Eukaryota; Viridiplantae; Streptophyta; Magnoliopsida; Poales; Poaceae. The record is from RNAcentral.
AUGGAGGUGGACAUCUUCAGAUACGAGUACGGGAAGGCUCUCGUCAAACCUGGUCAUCCUCCUCUAACAACGAUGAUGCGAAUAUUGCAUGAAUGGUACAUGGAUACCUGCGGCAAAUCUGGGAAGGAUACGUUGGUGCUGGGAAUUAAAGAGGAGCACGACCUCAUUGGAACUAAGGUGUUGCCUGUUCAUUUUGUGGAGUUAUUCCAGUUAUACAAUCAAAACGCUCUGGAAAAACAACUCAUGACUUGCUACUGUCUAUUGAAGAUCGUCGAAUGCAAAAAAAAAACAAAUCUAUGA